AGCGGUCCAAAGCGGUAUCUAGCG
RNAcentral lists this non-coding RNA (24 nucleotides) under Arabidopsis thaliana (thale cress). The record is from RNAcentral. Lineage: Eukaryota; Viridiplantae; Streptophyta; Magnoliopsida; Brassicales; Brassicaceae.